This 2097-nucleotide long non-coding RNA is filed under the name Homo sapiens (human). RNAcentral's name for it is "HSALNT0070612". The record is from RNAcentral. Lineage: Eukaryota; Metazoa; Chordata; Mammalia; Primates; Hominidae.
GAAGCAUUAUAACCCAUGUUGUCAAAGAUGUGGCCAUUUUUAGGCAUCUUUCUUUUCUCACUGUUGUGCUUCUCCUGGGAGAACAAAGUCAUUACAUAGUUCACUGCAUAGUUUUUCUGUCCAAGCAAAGGAAGAUUAUUAAGGACUUAUCUGACCAGGGACUCUCUCAUUUGGGCCAUCUGUCUUUUUGUGCUUUCUUGAGGGAAUGCAACGAGAGAACUUUUUUCCCUUUUUUUUCCUCUCAUUUAGUGUCUUAUGAGAUUGUAUGUGAAGCCAUAUUUUAAGAAUCUGAACAAGCAGAAACACUGCCACUUUGAACACUUUUUAUUUUCCUUUGUGCUUGCCAUUUCUAUUGGAGAAAUCACACAUUUUUUUCUCUAAUAAUAUUAAGAGAAAGGCUAUUUUAAGAUUGCUGGUCUCAAGGCCAAUUUUGCUCUCUCAUUUUUGUUCUUACUUCAAGCAUGUGCUAUUACAUUUGAUUUAUACAGAAACCUAACCUGCCAGGUGGAUACUCAGAGAAAAUUAAAUGGUAUUUACCCACCCCCAAACAGUCAAUUGCAUCUCUGCAGAGGUGAAAUAUUUUGCCUCCUUGAUAAUCAACAGGAAGAAAAAAGGGAGUAGAGCUGGGAAGGGAGGUCCUAACCAACUGAAGAAAAAUCUUACGUUUUCCAUAGUAUAUCUAAGAUUGUUUAAAGUUUCCUCUACUGAUUAUAGCUUACAGAGGUAAAAGGACAAACAUUUGUAAACUAUUAUUUAAAUAAAAAAUAAAAAAAGAUUGGCUAAAUAUUUUUGUAUAGUAUCAAUGUUUAUUAUAGGUAAUAAAACAAUACUUAAUAAUUUAUUUACAUAUGGAAAUUAACACUGAUAUUGGAGAAACAAGUGUCAGGCUAUAAAACUAAUUUAAUGCUAUUUAUUCAAUUUAAAAUCUCUGUACACCACUGCACCAUUGAAUCCCAGCACAAUGACAAUGAAUGCUCAUUAUGAUGAUGCUGAAACUUAAUUAUUUUUAAAACUGCUUGGAACAGGAUUCAUUGUCUCACCUACUCAUUCAGUAAAAAGUGCUAGCCAUCUACUAUGAGCCAAGUCCUAUUCUAGUCCCUGUGGAGGUAGAAGAGCAAAAGACAGGUUUCUGCAAUCGUAAUGUUUUUACUUUUCACGAGAACAUACCAUUUUGUAAUAUCACAAGAAGAUUACUCUCACUGGUGUAGUCAACAGAUAUUUAUUGAGCUACACAUGAAACUCUAAACAAUUAAGAUGCAAUGGGAUGGUAGAACAGAAAUCUAGUUUCUAAAAAAUAUUAAAAAAUACAAAUAAAUGGACAUUUGGAAUUCAAAGCUGCUACUCCCCUUAAUAAUUUAGCAUAUAAUUAUUGAGUAACCACAAUGUGCUAGUCCUGUGGUAGGUUUUUGGACUAUUGUACAAACAAGACAGAUAUGAUUUCUGUCUCAGGGAGAUAGAUUAUAGGACCAUAGCAUGACAGAAAUAAAUUCAAGUUUCUAUGGGAACUCAAUGGAACCUUCUUUGGGAGUUAACGAAGUCUCCUUAGUAAAAAUGACAUCAUAGUUAUGAGUUAAAAAUGAGAGACAUCAGUCAGGCUAAAAGAGGAAUUGAGACUAUUGGGCGUGUUUCAAGGUGAUGCCUUAGCACAGCAAAACCCUGUAGGAAAGAAAGAGCAUGGAUGCAUUUCUGAGCCUACAGAGAAACAUUUGGCAUAGUUGGGCCUUAGAUUAUAAAAUGUGGUCUGAAGUAAUAGGAGUAGAAAGAUAAGCAGAGGUCUUGAAGUUUGUAAAAGUUCUUAUAAGCCUAUGUUAUGCUGUUGGAGCUUUUUAUUGAGACUAUGAGAAAAACACAAGUAUACUAAUCAGAUCAUGAAAUGACAUAGUAAUAUGUCAUUGGGUGACUUGAGUGACAACCAAUUCACACCAGGCUUUUUCUUUAAUAACUACCAAAUACAUUGAGUUGGGUCAUUAGUGGCUACUUCUAAGCUCCAUUAAUACUGCUCAUUUGACCACAGUUCAUGUAUUCACCUGACCCCAGCUAGAUCUCUUGAAUCUAGCAAUAGAGUGGACAUUAGUCAUGUUAUUGGCAUCAAAAUAG